This 2012-nucleotide long non-coding RNA is filed under the name Anas zonorhyncha (Eastern spot-billed duck). RNAcentral describes it as "lncRNA (ENSAZOG00000013194.1)". Lineage: Eukaryota; Metazoa; Chordata; Aves; Anseriformes; Anatidae. The record is from RNAcentral.
UGCUCUCAUUCUGGGGUAAAAAAAGGCGAAAAUGGUUAAAAGCAUCUCAGCACAUCCAUAGACACGUCCAAAAUUUGCUCUUCUGUCUCUACGUCCAUCAGUGGGCGUCAUCUUCAGGUGGUGGGAACCCAAAAACACGUCUCAACGUCAACGUUGGCCAUCCCAACGUCCAUUUCUACUCAAAAAACCCUAAAUCACCCCAAAAUUGGUCAUCCCAAAAUCCACUUCUAUAUGCCAAGACCCCAAAACCAGGUCUUACCUCAAAAUUGGUCAUCCCAACACCUAUUUCUAUACCCCAAGACCCCAAAAACGCGUCUCAACGUCAACGUUGGCCAACCCAACGUCCAUUUCUACCCAAAAUAUCCCCCAAAAAACCAAAUCACCUCAAAAUUGAUCAUCCCCAAACCCAUUUCUACACCCCAAGACACCAAAACCACGUUCUCACCUCAAAAUUGGUCAUCCCAACACCCAUUUCUACCCAGAAGACCCCAAAAAUGCAUCUCAACGUCAACAUUGGGCGUCCCAACGCCCAUUUCUACCCAAAAAACCCUAAAUCACCCCAAAAUUGGUCAUCCCCAAACCCAUUUCUACACCCCAAGACCCCAAAACCACGUCUUACCUCAAAAUUGGUCAUCCCAACGCACAUUUCUACCCCCAAAAACCCCCAAAACGCGUCUCAAUGUCAACGUUGGCCAUCCCAACACCCAUUUCUACCCCCAAAAAAAACCAAAAAACCCAAAUCACCUCAAAAUUGUUCAUCCCAAAACCCAUUUCUACAUUCCAAGACCCCAAAACCACAUCCUCACCUCAAAAUUGGUCAUCCCAACACCCAUUUCUACCCCCAAAAACCCCAAAAACACGUCUCCACGUCAACGUUGGCCAUCCCAACGCCCAUUUCUACCCCCAAAAACCCCAAAACCACGUCUCCACGUCAACGUUGGCCAUCCCAACGCCCAUUUCUACCCCCAAAAACCCCAAAACCACAUCCCAACGUCAACGUUGGCCAACCCAACGCCCAUUUCUACCCCCAAAAGUCCCCAAAAAAACCCCAAAUCACCUCAAAAUUGGUCAUCCCAAAACCCAUUUCUACACCCCAAGACCCCAAAACCACGUCUUACCUCAAAAUUGAUCAUCCCAAAACCUAUUUCUACCCCCAAAAACCCAUCUCAACGUCAACGUUGGCCAACCCAACGCCCGUUUCUACCCCAAAAACCCCCCAAAAACCCUAAAUCACCUCAAAAUUGGUCAUCCCAAAACCCAUUUCUACACCCCAAGACCCCAAAAACGCGUCUCAACGUCAACGUUGGCCAUCCCAACACCCAUUUCUACCCAAAAAACCCUAAAUCACCCCAAAAUUGGUCAUCCCAAAACCCAUUUCUAUACGCCAAGACCCCAAAACCACAUCUUACCUCAAAAUUGGCCAUCCCAAAACCUAUUUCUACCCCCAAAACCACGUCCCAAUGUCAAUGUUGGCCACCCCAACACCCGUUUCUACCACCAAAACCCCCCCAAAAAAACAAAUCAGCUCAAAAUUGGUCAUCCCAAAACCCACUUCUAUACACCAAGACCCCAAAACCCCAUCUCGCCUCAAAAUUGGUCAUCCCAACACCUAUUUCUACCCAGAAGAUCCCAAAAACGCAUCUCAACGUCAACGUUGGCUAUCCCAAAACCCAUUUCUACCCCAAAAACCCCAAAAAACCCUAAAUCAACUCAAAAUUGGUCAUCCCAAAACCCAUUUCUACACCCCAAGACCCCAAAAUAACAUUCUCAACUCAACUUUGGUCAUGCGAAAACCCAUUUCUACCCCCAAAAACAUGUCUCAACGUCAACGUUGGCCAACCCAACGCCCGUUUCUACCCCAAAAACCCCCCAAAACCCUAAAUCACCUCAUAAUUGGUCAUCCCAAAACCCAUUUCUACCCCAAAAACCCUAAAUCACCUCAACGUUGACCAUCCCAAAACCCAUUUCUACCCCCAAAACCCCAAAAAACCCCAUCUUACCUCAACGUUGGC